Molecule: non-coding RNA, 472 nt
Organism: Ictalurus punctatus (channel catfish)
Lineage: Eukaryota; Metazoa; Chordata; Actinopteri; Siluriformes; Ictaluridae
Source: the annotation of a RefSeq genome assembly
UCUGCUUCAACACACACCAUGAUCUCUACAUCCCUACUGCUGCUGCUGCUGGCAGCCGUACACUGUGUUCACUGUGUUGAGCUGAUCCAGCCCGGAUCCACAGUAUUAACCCCUGGUCAGUCAAUGACUCUGACCUGUAAAGUGUCUGGAUAUUCAUUAACUGAUAGCAGCUACUGUACCGGCUGGAUACGACAACCUGCAGGAAAAGCUCUGGAGUGGGUCGCAUUAGCAUGUGGUAGUGGUAGCACUUACCACAGUGAGAAACUGAAAAGCAGGUUUCAGGUUUCGAGAGACACAUCCAGCAGCACAGUAACAUUAACGGGGCAGAACAUGCAGACUGAAGACACAGCUGUGUAUUACUGCGCUCGUUACCACAGUGAGACAGAUCAACAACAUCCCUGUACAAAAACACCCAGUGCAGAAAACUCACCAGUACAUACUGUGUUCACUGACACUUUUUCAUGAAUAGUGU